This is a long non-coding RNA of Malus domestica (apple), 1023 nucleotides long. RefSeq lists it as uncharacterized. NCBI's taxonomy places the organism in Eukaryota, Viridiplantae, Streptophyta, Magnoliopsida, Rosales, Rosaceae. The record is from RefSeq and is a predicted model, not a curated record.
AAUUGGGGGAGAGAGACUUUUUCUCUCUCCUCUCUAUUUCUCUCUAUACAAAAUGAGAAAUGAGAGCUAGAAUUUCUGAAAAUUGCAAUCCAACUUUUCGUGGAAUGAGUGGGACAGGGGUUGUAUGGAGUACGUCAACCGAGUCCAGGGGUUUGCGGUUCAAGAAGUGGAAAUACAAGCUGCCCAAGUGUUACGAGUCUUGUCCGACACCUGAGGCAGCGAGGGGACCUUCCCAAGGAGUUUCUGGAGAGGGUGGGUGAGUGAGACUGGCUUUGCACUCACUUUGAGAGUGAAAAGUAUAAGCAAAUAAAGGGGAUCGGGACAAGAAGCCGUACGAACACCGCUUCGGUUCUCAACCCCUAUCUUACCGAAUCAAGGAACAGCGAGAGGCUGAGGAGAAGUCACCGGAGGUGGUGGUUUGGAGGGAGAACCACGCCAAUUAAGGCAAUGAGGUCGAGGACGGGAUUUAUGCUUCAAUCUUACAAAAGAAGAACAAGGACCUCGCCAAUCUCUCCCAGCGGCAUCCUGACGUGUCUCCCAGCGGCAUCCUGACAUGCCUAUGGAGGAACUGACACCUGAUCUAGAGGUGUCUCUCCAGGUGCUGAUGGACGAGGUUGGCCGUAAGGAAGUCCACGGCCUAAGAGUAGGUCGGGUUUGGAAAGUCAGGUUUUGUUCUUCAUUGACUUCCACUAUAGCAACCUAGACCAAUUCCAGACUUUAGCAGGAGGAUAAAGAGCUGGCGCGCCCAAAGGAAUUAGUCCGCCAGUACUUCUUAAUCGUAUCCUAUAGCUUUUCAGCUUCUGGCAUUAUGAUUCCACCGCCCUCACCCUACCCUCGAGCUUGUGCCGCCAUUGCAAUAGCUCGCUAGCAACCGUCCCAGGAUCCCCCCAGUGCUAUCGUUCCAGUAGCCGCCCCACUAGUGACUAGACCCCACCAUAUUUUAUGAUUCUUUUUUUCCUUCUUUUUUUGUAAUAUAUUUUUUGGGCGAACGAAUUUUUUUUGGGUUAUAUAUACUUAUUUCUA